AUGCUUUCAAAGCUUCGACAUGUACACCUCGUCUCUCUAAUCGGAUAUUGCGAUGACGACAACGAGAUGGUACUUGUCUAUGAGUAUAUGCCACAUGGUACACUUAAAGAUCAUCUUUUCAGGAGAGACAAGGCCUCUGAUCCUCCAUUGUCAUGGAAACGAAGGCUAGAGAUUUGCAUUGGAGCAGCUCGUGGAUUACAGUAUCUUCAUACUGGAGCCAAGUACACGAUCAUACAUAGAGACAUCAAAACCACAAACAUACUUCUCGAUGAGAACUUCGUCGCUAAAGUAUCUGACUUUGGUUUAUCAAGAGUUGGUCCUACUAGUGCUUCUCAAACGCAUGUCUCCACCGUCGUUAAAGGAACGUUUGGUUACUUGGAUCCCGAGUACUAUCGCCGUCAAAUCUUGACCGAAAAAUCCGACGUGUACUCUUUUGGAGUUGUUCUGUUGGAGGUUUUGUGCUGUAGACCGAUCAGAAUGCAAAGUGUUCCACCGGAACAAGCAGAUUUGAUCCGAUGGGUGAAGUCAAAUUUCAAUAAAAGAACCGUUGAUCAGAUCAUUGACUCAGAUUUAACCGCUGAUAUCACUUCGACCUCGAUGGAGAAGUUUUGUGAGAUAGCCAUUAGAUGUGUUCAAGACCGUGGUAUGGAACGGCCACCGAUGAACGACGUUGUUUGGGCGCUUGAGUUUGCUCUUCAGCUUCACGAGACUGCUAAGAAGAAGAAUGACAACGUGGAGUCUCUGGAUCUAAUGCCAAGUGGUGAAGUUGGUACGACCACGGACGGAGAAGAUGACUUGUUUAGUAGGACUACAGGACACGUUGGGAAAUCGACCACGACCGAUGACUCUGUUCUAGUUGUUGGUGAUGAGAGGAGUGGUUCGAGUUGGGGAGUAUUUUCGGAGAUCAAUGAACCUAAAGCACGGUAGAUUUGAUGGCUUGGUAAACAAGUAUCACAUUCUGGUUAGGGUUGAUAUAUAUUUGUGUAUGUAUAAUUGUUGAAUAAACACAUUAUUGUAUUUAAAUUACAUUUUGAUGAUUAUUUAGCAGCUUAAAUUUAGAUAUUAUAUACUUGCUUUUAUUUGACCAGAGAUAAAGUUGGAUUUUUUUUUGGCGGUUCGUAACGGUUGAGAAUAUGUUUGACAUUUGUCUCAAAAUGCAAUCAAAAAAGUUUUGCAAUAUAAAAUUUUGUUAAAUACAGUCGUUAAAAAAAACAAAAUUGUUAAAUAAGUUCCUUCGCCAUUUCACGUGGCUCUUAAGUCAUAACCUAGUUAUGAAAAAUGAAAAACACCUAAUCUUUUCUUUUUCAACUUCAAUACCAAAUGAUCCGUCACGCUUUGUUAAUAUUCUCUAUUCUCGUUUCCACCCCCAUAGUAGGAGAAGGAGCAACGUCGACGUAUGAACCCACCGAUGUCUUUCUCUUCAACUGCGGCGACACUUCAAACAACGUCGACGUUAGUGGCCGAAACUGGACGGCGGAAAAUCAGAAAAUUCUAUCGUCAAAUUUAGUCAACGCUUCGUUCACUGCACAAGCGUCAUACCAAGAAUCAGGAGUUUCUCAGAUUCCGUACAUGACAGCUCGAAUAUUCCGAUCUGAGUUCACCUACAGUUUUCCAGUCACUCCCGGUUCAAAUUUUCUCCGGUUAUACUUUUACCCGACCCGAUACGGUUCCCAAUUCAACGCCGUCAAAUCCUUCUUCUCCGUCAAAGUCAACGGCUUCACUCUCUUGAACAACUUCAGCGCUGACUUAACGGUAAAAGCAUCUAAACCGCAAACGGAGUUUAUAAUCAAAGAGUUUAUUAUUCCGGUUUACCAAACGUUGAAUCUCACUUUCACGCCGUCUUUAGAUUCCUUAGCUUUCGUUAACGGAAUCGAGAUUGUCUCCAUACCUAACCGGUUUUACUCAAAGGGAGGAUUUGACGACGUUAUAACUAACGUUGGUAGUUCCGUUGACUUUCACAUAGAAAAUUCAACGGCUUUUGAGACAGUUUACCGGUUAAACGUAGGGGGAAAAACGGUUGGAGAUUCGGGAAUGUUCCGACGAUGGGUCUCUGAUGAUGAGAUCAUACUCAGUGAAAGUUCAGGAAUCUCUCCGAUCGUACCAGAUAUAAAGAUUAACUACACGGAGAAAACUCCGUCGUACGUUGCGCCGGAUGACGUGUACGCCACGUCUCGCUCAAUGGGAAACGCGGAUCACCCUGAGCAAAACCUAAAUUUUAACCUGACUUGGUUAUUCACCGUUGAUGCUGGGUUUAGCUACCUUGUGAGGCUUCAUUUCUGUGAGACUUUGUCAGAAGUGAACAAAGAGGGUCAACGCGUCUUCUCUAUCUUUAUUGAAAAUCAAACGGCUACGCUUGAGAUGGACGUGUUUCGGAUGAGUGGUGGUUCUUGGAUUCCGAUGUAUCUGGAUUAUACUGUGAUUGCGGGUUCGGGAAGUGGUCGGAGACAUGAUCUAAGGCUUGAUUUGCAUCCUUUGGUGAGCAUUAAUCCGAAAUAUUAUGAUGCUAUUCUGAAUGGUGUGGAGAUUCUCAAGAUGAAUGAUCCCGAUGGUAAUCUUGCAGGACCUAAUCCAGAUCCUCUAGUAUCACCAGACUUAAUACCAAACCGUGCAACGCCGCGGAUUCGAAAAAAUAAGUCACAUAUUUUGCCGAUCACACUUGCAGUGGUUGGUUCUUUAGUUGUGCUAGCAAUGUUUGUUGUUGGUGUUCUUGUUAUCAUGAAGAAGAAGAAGAAGAGCAAGCCAUCUACAAACUCGUCAUGGUGUCCUCUUCCGCACGGGACAGAUUCUACGAAUACAAAACCAGCGAAAUCUCUGCCCGCGGAUCUCUGUCGUCGAUUCUCCAUUUUCGAAAUCAAAUCCGCCACAAAUGAUUUCGAGGACAAGCUAAUCAUCGGAGUAGGCGGGUUUGGUUCUGUCUACAAAGGACAAAUAGACGGUGGAGCCACACUUGUUGCGGUUAAACGGCUGGAAAUUACAUCGAACCAAGGUGCUAAAGAGUUCGAAACAGAGCUCGAGAUGCUCUCAAAGCUUCGACAUGUACAUCUCGUCUCUCUAAUCGGCUACUGCGACGAGGACAACGAGAUGGUACUAGUCUAUGAGUAUAUGCCACAUGGUACACUUAAAGAUCAUCUUUUCAGGAGGGACAAAACCUCUGAUCCUCCAUUGUCAUGGAAACGAAGGCUAGAGAUUUGCAUUGGAGCAGCUCGUGGAUUACAGUAUCUUCAUACUGGAGCCAAGUACACGAUCAUACAUAGAGACAUCAAAACCACAAACAUACUUCU
This 3281-nucleotide long non-coding RNA is filed under the name Arabidopsis thaliana (thale cress). RNAcentral's name for it is "long non-coding RNA (ATHA_LNC000444)". Lineage: Eukaryota; Viridiplantae; Streptophyta; Magnoliopsida; Brassicales; Brassicaceae. The record is from RNAcentral.